Ostrea edulis (European flat oyster) is the source of this 586-nucleotide long non-coding RNA. RefSeq lists it as uncharacterized. The record is from RefSeq and is a predicted model, not a curated record. The transcript is spliced from 2 exons. NCBI's taxonomy places the organism in Eukaryota, Metazoa, Mollusca, Bivalvia, Ostreida, Ostreidae.
AUCUCGCUAAAUCUCGGCAAUCACAUGACGAGACUUACAGAACCUAUUACGGACGUCAGUGUAUGAAUUGAGACAAGUGUGGCCUCUGAAACAUGUGGUUUGAGCAGGCAUCACGCAAUUAUGACGCCGUGUGGAUUACACUGUAAGACAACUGGGAAUCAAAGGCUAGGCGGUGAAUUUCUACAAAAAUGAUAGGAUGAUAUAUACAUGUAUGUAGGUCUUCAAAGGGAGUGGUUUACAGAAAGUCGAAAACAUAUUUUGAAUGUGCGGAAUAUUUGACAUCCUUACAACGAAGUUUUGGGUAAAUUUAGAACUACAAACCACCACCUUCCUGUCGAAGUAGGCAGAUGGAGUAUUGGUGAGAGAAAUGAACGCCUUUGUAUAGUAUACAAUUGUAACCAAAUUGGAGAUUAAUUUGAUCAUAUUCUGGAAUGUGAAGUAUUGUGCCAAUUACGCAGAUAUUUUCUCAAUAUAAAAUAUUGUUCUACUACAAGCAUAAACCAUUUUUGUGGACUUCUAGAAAUUUUAUAUGUAUAAUAAAGUUGUGUAUGCUUACAUGUAUCUUAAAGAUCAAUAAUAUUGUCUA